GAUGAACGCUGGCGGCGUGCCUAAUACAUGCGAGUCGAGCGAACAGAUAAGGAGCUUGCUCCUUUGACGUUAGCGGCGGACGGGUGAGUAACACGUGGGUAACCUACCUAUAAGACUGGGAUAACUUCGGGAAACCGGAGCUAAUACCGGAUAACAUUUGGAACCGCAUGGUUCUAAAGUGAAAGAUGGUUUUGCUAUCACUUAUAGAUGGACCCGCGCCGUAUUAGCUAGUUGGUAAGGUAACGGCUUACCAAGGCAACGAUACGUAGCCGACCUGAGAGGGUGAUCGGCCACACUGGAACUGAGACACGGUCCAGACUCCUACGGGAGGCAGCAGUAGGGAAUCUUCCGCAAUGGGCGAAAGCCUGACGGAGCAACGCCGCGUGAGUGAUGAAGGGGUUCGGCUCGUAAAACUCUGUUAUUAGGGAAGAACAAAUGUGUAAGUAACUGUGCACGUCUUGACGGUACCUAAUCAGAAAGCCACGGCUAACUACGUG
This 497-nucleotide ribosomal RNA is filed under the name uncultured bacterium. Its description in RNAcentral is "partial 16S ribosomal RNA". It matches the Rfam family "Bacterial small subunit ribosomal RNA", at positions 28 to 507 of the family's 1533-position model. The record is from RNAcentral.